This 555-nucleotide ribosomal RNA is filed under the name uncultured bacterium. Its description in RNAcentral is "partial 16S ribosomal RNA". It matches the Rfam family "Bacterial small subunit ribosomal RNA", at positions 355 to 902 of the family's 1533-position model. The record is from RNAcentral.
UGGGGAAUUUUGGACAAUGGGCGAAAGCCUGAUCCAGCAAUGCUGCGUGUGUGAAGAAGGCCUUCGGGUUGUAAAGCACUUUUGUCCGGAAAGAAAUCCUUGGCUCUAAUACAGUCGGGGGAUGACGGUACCGGAAGAAUAAGCACCGGCUAACUACGUGCCAGCAGCCGCGGUAAUACGUAGGGUGCAAGCGUUAAUCGGAAUUACUGGGCGUAAAGCGUGCGCAGGCGGUUUGCUAAGACCGAUGUGAAAUCCCCGGGCUCAACCUGGGAACUGCAUUGGUGACUGGCAGGCUAGAGUAUGGCAGAGGGGGGUAGAAUUCCACGUGUAGCAGUGAAAUGGCGUAGAGAUGUGGAGGAAUACCGAUGGCGAAGGCAGCCCCCUGGGCCAAUACUGACGCUCAUGCACGAAAGCGUGGGGAGCAAACAGGAUUAGAUACCCUGGUAGUCCACGCCCUAAACGAUGUCAACUAGUUGUUGGGGAUUCAUUUCCUUAGUAACGUAGCUAACGCGUGAAGUUGACCGCCUGGGGGUACGGUCGCAAGAUUAAAAGCUC